Molecule: long non-coding RNA, 2544 nt
Organism: Dreissena polymorpha
Lineage: Eukaryota; Metazoa; Mollusca; Bivalvia; Myida; Dreissenidae
Exons: 4
Source: RefSeq, a predicted model, not a curated record
AAUUGCCAACUGAUAGGUCGAAACAACAACAACGCGUCAACAGUUAAAUAAUCCAAUAUUAAACAACUAAGCGUAUUGAAUAACCCUACUUUUAUGACAAGGCUAGCAAAUUUUUUAUACUUGUUAUAAUAAGGAGGACUUAAUUUCACUAGUUCACCUUGUAUUAUCCGUUUCCAGAUAUCAAUCUAGUACAAAAUGACAACCCCAUUUGAGAGAUUGAAUGAUGCCUUAGGCCAUCUUGUAUUAAACGAAGAAGGAGCAGUUACAAGUUCAGGUGGAGACUUGGAGAACAAGGAAGAUAUGGCACAAAAGUUCCUCCACCUUGUAAGAACAGCCUUGAGAAUUCCAACCAGCCAUAAGGAUAAGUUCAAAAGACUAUCAGUUGUCUGGGACAGCUUCAUGUACGUGAUCACGGUCUCCAAUCACAAGAUCUACAUCUGCAAGAAACAGUUUGUCCCCACUGAGCCCGUCACAGCUUGACCUCGACCUUGGGGAUGUAGCAAAUUAUACUCAUUAACUAAAUGCCUUUACCACUCAGGUAAACCUAUUGACAUGUUUGUAAUCCCUUUGAAUUUUCAAAAUCAAAUCAUUUUCAACCCUAAGAUACCGAUGAGCAGCAAACAGCAUAAAACCUGAAUAACUUGCAGGCUGUUCUGGUUUUAUGCUGGUAGCAUAAAGGCAUUUUUAACCAGGUUUUCCGAAGGAAAAAACUGGUUAUUAGAUUGGCGAAUGCGGGCGGGCUGGCUGGCGGGCUGGCUGGCUGGCGGGCUGGCGGAAUAAGCUUGUCCGGGCCAUAACUAUGUCGUUCAUUGUCAGAUUUUAAAAUCAUUUGGCACAUUUGUUCACCAUCAUUGGACGGUGUGUCGCGCGAAAUAAUUACCUCGAUAUCUCCAAGGUCAAGGUCACACUUUGAGUUCAAAGGUCAAAAAUGGCCAUAAAUGAGCUUGUCCGAGCCAUAACUAUGUCGUUCAUCGUCAGAUUUUAAAAUCAUUUGGCACAUUUGUUCACCAUUAUUGGACGGUGUGUCGCGCGAAAUAAUUACGUCGAUAUCUCCAAGGUCAAGGUCACACUUUGAGUUCAAAGGUCAAAAAUGGCCAUAAAUGAGCUUGUCCUGGCCAUAACUAUGUCAUUCAUUGUGAGAUUUUAAAAUCAUUUGGCACAUUUGUUCACCAUCAUGGGACGGUGUGUCCCACGAAAGAAUCACGUCAAUAUCUCCAAUGUCAAGGUCGCCACGACUAAAAAUAGAUUUAAAAAAAAAAAAAAAACUUACAAAGGGGGUUAAUUUUUUUUUAGUCAUUUCAAAAGUUCAGUUUGAGUUUUCUCCCUUUAUCAGAUUGUUUUUUUUCACAAUGAAAACCUGGUUUUGUGACAAUUUUGUCCCUUGUCAAUUUUCUUCUGAGUGGGAAAGGGAUAACACUCUUGCAUAAACUGGUACAUUUCACUAAAAUCAUGUAGUAUAGACUGGAUGAUAAGCAACGUCAUGCCGAAAUGGGUCUCAUGCAAAAUAUAGUCAGCGUUGCUCCAACACAGCCUGCGCAUCCGGCCAGUCGGGUAAGGAGUGCCUAUAAAAUCCUUGUGUGACUUUUAAGCUGAAAGGGUAGCUCCUGACCAGACUGCGAAAAAUACUGUACAUAACAAUGUAUUUAUAUAAUCUUUUAAUUAGCAAAGUUUGUGUGACAACAAAGAAAAAAGUCAGUAAGAACUUUCAUGUUGUAGACUUAUUUUUGUUUUUUAACAUUUUCCGUUAUUGUAAUGACAGUUAUGCUAGCAAGUAUAGAGAGAAUAAGCUAUUGUUCAUGAUAUAUCUUGACCAACUUUAAAGUAAAUUAAAAAUAAUUAUAAUACUCCGAAAUAUUUAAAUUUAAACCAUGCACAAAAUAUAAUCAUUUUAACUAUUGCAAAAAACUUUGUUCAAUAAUGUUAAAAUAAAAUAAUAAAUGCAGUAUUGUUGGUUAUAGGCCAGGUAAACAAUUGCGUCAUUAUGAGUCUGUUAAGCCAAGAAAGCAAUUCAACUUCUAUGCAUUAAUCCCAUGGGUCAUUGUUUAUUGUUUUAUUUACAACAAUAAUUCAAAAUGUGACCCUCAAGAACUUUUUAUUUAUCAAUAUUAUAUAUAAGAACAGCAUCUUCUUUUGUCAUGUGUUGUAAAUAACUUUCAUGUCCCAAAAACAUUGCUAUACAUGUAUAUGUAUUUAUCAUCUGUUCAUAUCUAUUUAUAUAAAAUUGGUUUUAAUUAUAUAUAGAAACAACUGAAACAAGAGGAUAUAAGUAAAAAUGUUAACUCUUUAAGCUUAUACAUGUUCCAUGUCUAGUUGUCCAUUGAAACAAAAUCGUAUAUGAAUAAUAUUAUUAAAGCUUUAUAAUUAGUUCAGUAUAAUAUAGAAAACUCAUUGGCAUAUGUGUUAUUAGAUGUUAGUUGUUUCUGGUAAUUUAUUACUUUUAAAAUUAUAUUCAUGUUUGCUUGGUAUCAAUGGAAUUAUUUUAUAUAUGUGCACAAUAAUAUAAUGUAUUAUAACACGAAAAAUAAAUAAAUUGGUUUGUUUCUA